CGGAGGAUGCAAGCGUUAUCCGGAUUUAUUGGGUUUAAAGGGUCCGUAGGCGGAUCUGUAAGUCAGUGGUGAAAUCUCACAGCUUAACUGUGAAACUGCCAUUGAUACUGCAGGUCUUGAGUAAGGUAGAAGUGGCUGGAAUAAGUAGUGUAGCGGUGAAAUGCAUAGAUAUUACUUAGAACACCAAUUGCGAAGGCAGGUCACUAUGUCUUAACUGACGCUGAUGGACGAAAGCGUGGGGAGCGAACAGGAUUAGAUACCCUGGUAGUCCACGCCGUAAACGAUGCUAACUCGUUUUUGGGGCUUCGGCUUCAGAGACUAAGCGAAAGUGAUAAGUUAGCCACCUGGGGAGUACGUUCGCAAGAAUG
RNAcentral lists this ribosomal RNA (368 nucleotides) under uncultured organism. RNAcentral's name for it is "bacterial SSU rRNA". It matches the Rfam family "Bacterial small subunit ribosomal RNA", at positions 526 to 896 of the family's 1533-position model. The record is from RNAcentral.